UACGAAGGGUGCAAGCGUUGCUCGGAAUUAUUGGGCGUAAAGCGCACGUAGGCGGCUUGGCAAGUCGGAUGUGAAAGCCCUCGGCUCAACCCAGGAAGUGCAUCCGAAACUGCUGAGCUUGAGUACUUAAGAGGAUCGCGGAAUUCCCGGUGUAGAGGUGAAAUUCGUAGAUAUCGGGAGGAACACCAGUGGCGAAGGCGGCGAUCUGGGAAGAUACUGACGCUGAGGUGCGAAAGCGUGGGGAGCAAACAGG
Molecule: ribosomal RNA, 253 nt
Filed under: uncultured bacterium
Lineage: Bacteria
Description: partial 16S ribosomal RNA
Rfam family: Bacterial small subunit ribosomal RNA
Source: RNAcentral